GCGAGGGUUGCCAAGCCAGGUCAAAGGCGUCAGGUUCAGGGCCUGAUCUCGCAGGAGUUCGGGGGUUCAAAUCCCCUCCCUCGCA
Molecule: transfer RNA, 85 nt
Filed under: Methanoregula sp.
Lineage: Archaea; Methanobacteriati; Methanobacteriota; Methanomicrobia; Methanomicrobiales; Methanoregulaceae
Description: tRNA-Leu
Rfam family: tRNA
About the family: Transfer RNA (tRNA) molecules are approximately 80 nucleotides in length. Their secondary structure includes four short double-helical elements and three loops (D, anti-codon, and T loops).
Source: RNAcentral